GCUUACGGCCACACACUCCCUGAGCACGCCCGAUCUCGUCUGAUCUCGAAGCAGAAGCAGGGUCGGCCCGGUUAGUACUUGGAUGGGGACCGCCUGGGAAUACCAGGUGCUGUAAGCC
Molecule: ribosomal RNA, 118 nt
Filed under: Esox lucius (northern pike)
Lineage: Eukaryota; Metazoa; Chordata; Actinopteri; Esociformes; Esocidae
Source: RNAcentral